CUCUCACUGAUUUCUGGAACAGUUUCUCCACCUGACUGUUCAAGAUCUUUUCCUCUGCUUUCUCAGGUCCAU
Molecule: non-coding RNA, 72 nt
Organism: Pangasianodon gigas (Mekong giant catfish)
Lineage: Eukaryota; Metazoa; Chordata; Actinopteri; Siluriformes; Pangasiidae
Source: the annotation of a GenBank genome assembly